GUGAAGGCACACACAACAGCCAUGGUUCGUAUUUGCUGUGUGGUCCGCUGCAAUGUUUGAUCGCACGACCGGCAAGAGAAUAAGCUUGAAAAGGGUUUGUCUUUUCAUUCUUUCCCAACCUGGAAGCAACAUGAGGCAGCUCGUGUAUCGAUGUUACCAAACAAAGGCGUCUAGCCUGGAUAGCAGCUGUGAGACCAGCUGAUAUCCAGUUCUUUUCCAUCUCCAAAUAUCUCAUUUCAUUCCGGUAAGUUCUAAAUAUGUUCAUAUCACUCUUUAUAGCCUAUUAGUUUUAUUUUCUAUGCGCUCUGAGCUCAUAGCAAAUUAGAACAAACAUCCUACGGAGUGAUUUUGCAGAACUACCUUCUAUUUAUAGAGUUGCUAAUUAUUUGGCAUUAUUGCAGCAAACCAGCCUAUGAAAUGGAUGAAACAUCAUGACUGGGUUCCAGCGCUACACAAGGGACCUGCUUCAAACAUACCACCAUGCCAAUCAGAUUACUUCUUCCAUGUGAGGGUGAAGAGCUGACUUUGCUACCCGCACAGAGCGUUUCUGACAGUUGGGUGCUGCUUAUACAAUAGAGAAAAGCAACAAUACAGUGUGUUUCUCUGCUCCAAGAAAUCCGAGGGCCUUUCACAAGCUGAAAACAGUUUGUAUCCGCACUCUGAGUGUCAUGGUCCCCGCACCUCGCCAGCUGACAGCAGUCAGGCGCUAUGUUUUGUGUUCUUUAUUCUUCUCUCUUGCCUCUGCUCUUUUUCUCUCUCGUCCUCUCCCUCUCUCUUUCUCCUGCCGGGGCGGAGCUCAGUAUGGGCUCCCGCCCCUGGCCCA
Molecule: non-coding RNA, 823 nt
Organism: Neolamprologus brichardi
Lineage: Eukaryota; Metazoa; Chordata; Actinopteri; Cichliformes; Cichlidae
Source: RefSeq, a predicted model, not a curated record